This 854-nucleotide ribosomal RNA is filed under the name Acrotoma baryshnikovi. Its description in RNAcentral is "partial 16S ribosomal RNA". The record is from RNAcentral. Lineage: Eukaryota; Metazoa; Mollusca; Gastropoda; Stylommatophora; Clausiliidae.
UUAUACUAUAAACAUUUAAAUUUUUAAUUUCCCGAAAUAAGUAGAGCUAAUUACUUCAUCAUAUUAGAGCUAUAACGAUAAUAGUGUAGUAUAACUAUAGUUUAAAAAGUAAUUAGGAGUGAAAGGCCAAUCAAUACUUAUAGAUAUCUGGAUGAGCUUUAAAUAUAUUUAGUAUACAUAAGGCAAAUAUAAAGUUAUAAGGUUUUAUAUAACUAAAAUUAUGAAUUGAUAUAUUAUGCAAAUAAAUUAAAAUUUAAUUGUAAUUUUAUUAAAAUAAUGUUUUUUCUUAACUAUUUAAGUUUUAUAGCUCUAAAGUUGUUUCUUAAAUCUAUUAGGCUUUAGAUUCUGUUUAAAUUAGUAAUACUAAAAAAAAUUUUGAAAGUAACUCGGCAAAUACAUAAUCUCAACUGUUUAUCAAAAACAUAGCUAAGUUUUAAUACUUAGUUAUUUCUGCCCGGUGAUAUUAUUUAACGGCCGCAGUACACUGACUGUGCAAAGGUAGCGUAAUAAAUUGACUUAUAAUUGAAGUCCAGUAUGAAAGGGAAUAUGGGGUUAAGCUGUCUCUUAAUAAUUUUACAAAAUUACUUUAGAAAGUGAAAAGUCUUUUGAUGCUUAAUAGACGAGAAGACCCUAUGAAUUUUUAAAGAAAAGUUAUGUAGCUUAAUUUUUUGUUGGGGCAACAAAUUGACAGUAAUAUACAUUAAUUCAUCCAUAUAUACCAAAUAUUAUUAUUACUAAACAAAUUACUAUAGGGAUAACAGCAUAAUUUUAUAGGUAAGAUUGUGACCUCGAUGUUGGAUUAGGAAACUGUUAAUAUAACCUAUUAAGUGAUUAGUUCUGUUCGAACUUUUCCU